UAGGGAAUCUUCCGCAAUGGACGCAAGUCUGACGGAGCAACGCCGCGUGAGUGAAGAAGGAUUUCGGUUCGUAAAACUCUGUUGUUAGAGAAGAACAGCGCAUAGAGUAACUGUUAUGCGUGUGACGGUAUCUAACCAGAAAGCCACGGCUAACUACGUGCCAGCAGCCGCGGUAAUACGUAGGUGGCAAGCGUUGUCCGGAUUUAUUGGGCGUAAAGCGAGCGCAGGCGGUCAAUUAAGUCUGGUGUGAAAGCCCCCGGCUCAACCGGGGAGGGUCAUUGGAAACUGGUUGACUUGAGUGCAGAAGAAGAGAGUGGAAUUCCAUGUGUGGCGGUGAAAUGCGUAGAUAUAUGGAGGAACACCAGUGGCGAAGGCGACUCUCUGGUCUGUAACUGACGCUGAGGCUCGAAAGCGUGGGUAGCAAACAGG
RNAcentral lists this ribosomal RNA (429 nucleotides) under Bacteroidota bacterium. RNAcentral describes it as "Bacteroidetes bacterium partial 16S ribosomal RNA". It matches the Rfam family "Bacterial small subunit ribosomal RNA", at positions 355 to 776 of the family's 1533-position model. The record is from RNAcentral. Lineage: Bacteria; Pseudomonadati; Bacteroidota.